AUUAUUAGACUAUUUCCUUGUGUGUUGUGCAUUACAAUUCAUAUUGACCAUUUUUCAGGACUGUUAGCGCAGACAAACCGAGGAACCACUUGACCAAGCAACCUCUCCUUAAAUCUUUUAUCAAGUCUCGGUGAAUUGUAAUCGACUUAAAUAUUUUUGACCAUUAAUGAAUUUAAUUUCUUUUGACCAGGAAUCAACAUCAGGAAACGGUACACCAUAUACACAUUCAGGAUUCUCUUUACCACAUUUUACCACUCUUUAAUAAUCCUGAAUGGCCAGACUCAUCAAUAGUUUGGUACCACACCUACACCGUACCCUUUUAUUUCAUCUCCAUGC
RNAcentral lists this long non-coding RNA (336 nucleotides) under Brassica napus (rape). RNAcentral's name for it is "long non-coding RNA (BNAP_LNC018811)". The record is from RNAcentral. Lineage: Eukaryota; Viridiplantae; Streptophyta; Magnoliopsida; Brassicales; Brassicaceae.